AGAGAGAGACAUGCGCGCAUAUCAAUAAGCGGAGGAAAAGAAACUAACAAGGAUUCCCUUAGUAACGGCGAGUGAAGCGGGAAGAGCUCAAAUUUGAAAUCUUCAAGGUUCUACCUUGACGAAUUGUAGUUUAUAGAAGUGUUUUCUGUUAGUGGAGUGGCAAAAGUUCUUUGGAAUAGGACAUCAUAGAGGGUGAGAAUCCCGUAUUUGGUCAUUCCUCCUAGCGUUGUGAUACACUUUCAACGAGUCGGAUUGUUUGGGAAUGCAGUCCAAAAUGGGUGGUAAAUUUCAUCUAAAGCUAAAUAUUGGCGAGAGACCGAUAGCGAACAAGUACCGUGAGGGAAAGAUGAAAAGAACUUUGAAAAGAGAGUUAAACAGUACGUGAAAUUGUCAAAAGGGAAGCGUUUGACACCAGUGUUGUUUUUCCGAAAAUCAAUUACGAAUGUUUUGCUUUUUGAGGAGUUAUGACUUCAUCGGCUUGCUCCUUUCUUUAUGAAACUUUCUUAAUGCACUUUUCGGUUAACAAGUCAACAUCAAUUUCUUUUGUUGUAAAAGGGUAUGAGGAAGGUGGCUUUCUUUUCGGAGAAAGUGUUUAUAGCCUUGUGCCUCUGCAAUCGGAGAGAUUGAGGUCUGCAGCGUAGAUCCUUCGGGGUUAGAUACGUUUGUGCUAAGUUAUAGCUUUUCAUAGACAACUUGUUGACUAUGUUUAGUCUUGUAGCUUACUCGCUGAUGCUAUUUUACCUACGCUUAGGAUGUUGAUAGUCACAGCGUGUA
RNAcentral lists this ribosomal RNA (774 nucleotides) under uncultured Neocallimastigales. RNAcentral describes it as "partial large subunit ribosomal RNA". It matches the Rfam family "Eukaryotic large subunit ribosomal RNA", at positions 23 to 643 of the family's 3401-position model. Lineage: Eukaryota; Fungi; Neocallimastigomycota; Neocallimastigomycetes; Neocallimastigales. The record is from RNAcentral.